This 301-nucleotide ribosomal RNA is filed under the name uncultured bacterium. RNAcentral describes it as "partial 16S ribosomal RNA". It matches the Rfam family "Bacterial small subunit ribosomal RNA", at positions 509 to 808 of the family's 1533-position model. The record is from RNAcentral.
CAGUAGCCGCGGUAAUACGAAGGGUGCAAGCGUUACUCGGAAUUACUGGGCGUAAAGCGUGCGUAGGUGGUGGUUCAAGUCCGUUGUGAAAGCCCUGGGCUCAACCUGGAAUUGCAGUGGAUACUGGGUCACUAGAGUGUGGUAGAGGAUAGUGGAAUUUCCGGUGUAGCAGUGAAAUGCGUAGAGAUCGGAAGGAACAUCUGUGGCGAAGGCGACUAUCUGGGCCAACACUGACACUGAGGCACGAAAGCGUGGGGAGCAAACAGGAUUAGAUACCCCUGUAGUCCCUGUCUCUUAUACA